Molecule: ribosomal RNA, 265 nt
Filed under: uncultured bacterium
Lineage: Bacteria
Description: partial 16S ribosomal RNA
Rfam family: Bacterial small subunit ribosomal RNA
Source: RNAcentral
CCGGCGACCGGCAGACGGGUGCGUAACGCGUAUGUAACCUACCUUUGACAGGGGGAUAACAUCGAGAAAUUGGUACUAAUACCCCAUAACAUCACCGGAGGCAUCUUCGGUGGUUGAAAACUCAGGUGGUCAGAGAUGGACAUGCGUUGUAUUAGCUAGUUGGUGAGGUAACGGCUCACCAAGGCGACGAUACAUAGGGGGACUGAGAGGUCAACCCCCCACAUUGGUACUGAGACACGGACCAAACUCCUACGGGAGGCAGCAG